CCUACGGGGGGCUGCAGUGGGGAAUAUUGGACAAUGGGGGCAACCCUGAUCCAGCCAUGCCGCGUGUGUGAAGAAGGCCCUCGGGUUGUAAAGCACUUUCAGUGAGGAAGAACGCCUGGUGGUUAAUACCCAUCAGGAAAGACAUCACUCAUAGAAGAAGCACCGGCUAACUCCGUGCCAGCAGCCGCGGUAAUACGGAGGGUGCGAGCGUUAAUCGGAAUUACUGGGCGUAAAGCGCGCGUAGGUGGCUUGAUAAGCCGGUUGUGAAAGCCCCGGGCUCAACCUGGGAACGGCAUCCGGAACUGUCAAGCUAGAGUGCAGGAGAGGAAGGUAGAAUUCCCGGUGUAGCGGUGAAAUGCGUAGAGAUCGGGAGGAAUACCAGUGGCGAAGGCGGCCUUCUGGACUGACACUGACACUGAGGUGCGAAAGCGUGGGUAGCAAACAGGAUUAGAUACCCGUGUAGUC
RNAcentral lists this ribosomal RNA (465 nucleotides) under Vreelandella stevensii. RNAcentral describes it as "partial 16S ribosomal RNA". It matches the Rfam family "Bacterial small subunit ribosomal RNA", at positions 338 to 795 of the family's 1533-position model. The record is from RNAcentral. Lineage: Bacteria; Pseudomonadati; Pseudomonadota; Gammaproteobacteria; Oceanospirillales; Halomonadaceae.